UUCCUGGCAGUUCUGGGGCUGGCCUGAAAUGCAGACCUGGUCUGCUCGAGAGAAGGUGAAUUUGUGGACCUCCCUCCUGCAAGAUGCUGUCAGGACAAGCUGUGAAGUUGGAUGUCUGAAACACAUCAAGAUGAUUUCCCAAACACCAGCACGCAACACCACUGAGCAUGGACCAGAGCAUUUUGUGAUGUGGCACUGCCAAGCACGAGCUUGCACAUGCCAAGCAGAAGCUCAGGCAGAGUGAAAUCUCCAUCUUGAACUGGAGAAAUAUUUCCCACAAACACUGUAAUUAUUCAAAGCUGAUAUAUUUCUGCAGUAACCUUCAAUCUGAUGGACUGUCACUUUUCUGAUGAAGAAUCACUUGUUUGGAG
Molecule: long non-coding RNA, 371 nt
Organism: Myiozetetes cayanensis
Lineage: Eukaryota; Metazoa; Chordata; Aves; Passeriformes; Tyrannidae
Exons: 4
Source: RefSeq, a predicted model, not a curated record